GGGCCAUGGCUCUGUGGUAGCGCAACUGCUUUGCAUUCAGAAGGUCCCAGGUUCAAUCCCUGGCAUCUCCA
Molecule: transfer RNA, 71 nt
Filed under: Podarcis lilfordi (Lilford's wall lizard)
Lineage: Eukaryota; Metazoa; Chordata; Lepidosauria; Squamata; Lacertidae
Description: tRNA.Ala
Source: RNAcentral